Molecule: ribosomal RNA, 218 nt
Filed under: uncultured bacterium
Lineage: Bacteria
Description: partial 16S ribosomal RNA
Rfam family: Archaeal small subunit ribosomal RNA
Source: RNAcentral
UACCAGCACCCCGAGUGGUCGGGACGUUUAUUGGGCCUAAAGCAUCCGUAGCCGGUUCUACAAGUCUUCCGUUAAAUCCACCUGCUCAACAGAUGGGCUGCGGAAGAUACUAUGGAGCUAGGAGGCGGGAGAGGCAAGCGGUACUCGAUGGGUAGGGGUAAAAUCCGUUGAUCCAUUGAAGACCACCAGUGGCGAAGGCGGCUUGCCAGAACGCGCUC